Molecule: long non-coding RNA, 17397 nt
Filed under: Malus domestica (apple)
Lineage: Eukaryota; Viridiplantae; Streptophyta; Magnoliopsida; Rosales; Rosaceae
Description: long non-coding RNA (MDOM_LNC011560)
Source: RNAcentral
AUUGGCCCGUUUAUUUAUGUCUGUCCCCUUGGACUUGAAGGAGAAAAGCUGAUUCACUUCAGUUGGCGUUCCCAAACGCCCGUGAUUCCAUGAAAUUCAAUCCAUUGCUGCUUCUGCUGUUCUGAUCGCGAACCCCAAAUCCCAAACUCCUAAGCCCAAAUCAGAUGGGCAGCAAAAGCAAAAGCAAAGAGAAGAAAGCAGUUGGAGGACUCAAUCGACGACGAUAAAUUACUUUGGUUGAUUAUAUUUGCUGUACACGUUCUUCUUAGACAGGGUGUGCUUGGUAUUAAGAUGCAGAUCAUGCUCGACUGGGAUCCUAAGGGAAAGCAGCGACCAAUGACUCCAUUGCCUGAUUUGGUGACCAUCCACACCCCCAAGGAAGAACAAUAUCUUCCAGUUCCACCCGCAGAAAUCGACCUAGAGCCAGUUCCAGUUCCAAUAGCUUCAAGUGAGUUUUGAUUCAUUUGUAAACUUAUACAUAUAGGAAAGGAAUUGGUUGUCCUUUUCUGCUGCGAUUUUCAGCGAAUGAACUUGUUUACUAGUCUAUGGAUUUAAAAAUUAGUAUUGAAAUAAAUGUCUAUGCAAUAUGACAAUGGGGUUCUGCCAAUUUAUGACAGCCUUUUCUUUUUUUCUUUUUCUUUUUUUAAUAUUCAAUUUUCACAAGAAAACAUGAGAUGAACAUAUGGUGUCCUGUAGCUAUGAGAAUUUGCAAUUGAAACAUAUUCUUUUGCAAUAGAAUCAAUAAUUUGCAACCUUAGUUCAUAUUUGGCGUUUGUUCAAAACUACACUAGUACUUUUGUAACACCAUUGAAUAAAAUUCUAUGCGUUGCAUCUAUAGGUGCUCUGAAAUUGUGUUUUUGUUUUAGAAAUAGGUAGUGUUCAAUUGAAGAAAUAGUGAUAGUAUCCCUUGUUCAGUUCUAUAAAUAAUCAGUGUUUAGUUUAAGAAACAUUAUUUAUGAAACUAUAGAAAAUUACCCACACUAUUUCAGAAAAUUGAAUCAAAAUUACACACAUUAUUUUUGGAAGAUAACAAAAUAAACACUAUUUCUGAAUCAAUAGCAAAAUAAUCCACACCAUUUCUGAAACUGAAACAAAAUAACUCACACUAUUUCUGAAACUACAGCAAAAUAACCCACAUUAUUUCUGAAACUGAACCAAAAUAACUCAUAUUAUUUCUGGAACCACAAGAAAAUAACCCACAUUAUUUCUAAAACUAAACCAUAAUAACCAACACUAUUUCUGGAAGGGAACAAAAUAAACAAUAGUUCUGAAACUACAACAAAAUAACCAACACUAUUUUUGAAAUUGAACCAAAAUAAGCAACAUUAUUUCUGGAACUACAACAAAAUUACACACUAUUUCAGGGAAAAAAAAACUGAACUAAAACAAUCCACACUAUUUAUAAAAGAAAACAAAUUUCUGAAACCACCACAAACCACAAACCUACACUGUUUAUGAAAUUGAACCAAAAUAGCUCACACCAUUUCUAGAACUACGGAAAAAUAAUCUACACUAUUUUUAGAAUAACAACAAAAUAUACAUCCAUCUCAUAGAUGAUGGAUUAUAUGUUUUUUCUUAAAAUAAAUGAAUAUGUUUUGAAUUAAUUAAUUAAUUAAAUCUUUUUGCCCGUAAAAAUCCGAUGUUGGUCCCUUGAAGGCCAAAGGAAAAUAAGCAACCAUUGGGCCUUAAUUUCCAGGGGAUAGAAAAAGUAGAUGAAUGAGUAUUUAUCUCCAAAGUGGUUCAUCUAACACUAAGAUAGGACCCGCACCAACCCCAAGACUAGAAGAAACCGAUGAAGGGCUUAAAAUUUCUAUCCACUCUUCGAACUCCAUCUGCCUCUUGUAAAAUCGGGCCCAGUUAUCUUGAAAGUGGUCUAUCCACUCCUCGAAAAAAAAUUCUAGUGGUUCAAACUCUUUUCAUUAAAACUCUAAAAAUUAAAAGCAUUAAAAGUAUUAGAAGUUUUAAUCAAAAUUAUGGACUCCGUUUUUCACUUAAGGUUCUGUCCAUAUAAAAUCUUCAUAUGUGCGUACAUACACUCUGUAUUCAAUGAGGCCCUAUACUUUAGGGACUCAUUUUCCGAUUCAUUAGAGAUUUAUUUUGUUCCUAUAUUUAUUUUAUAAAUAUUUAUUAUAAUAAUUGUUCUUAUUUAGGGAUUCCACUGAAGAAGUAGAUAAUUGAAACUCUUCCUACCAGUGCCACCUUUAACAUGUCACCCCCCAGGACCAGCCAAAUAUAAUAAAUCUUGGUUUAUAAUUUUAUAGUGGGUGCACAAUUAUUACAAAAGCCAAAAAAAGGCAUGGACCAUCGUGCAGUUUUUACCAUCUUAAAUCUACCUCCAGAAAUGAUCUCAGUUCUUAUUCUUAUUCUUUGGUAAAGCGAAGGACUUUGUAUGUUUACUCUGGGAAAAGGAUUCACGCCGGAUCCUUUUCCUAGGGAUUAAGUGAUCUCACCCGUUUAUCGUAUAUCAUGUGAUCAGUUUUCGUUAGGUACUAUUUAUAUUUAAUAUUAAAUUUUAAAUUUUGAAAUGAUUUAUGGCCGCACGAUGUACAAUGAACAGAUGAGAUCACAUGAUCCCUAGGAAAAGGAUCUGGCGAGGAUCCUUUUCCUAUACUCUAGUCCUUUUGUAUUUGUACUAAUGUAAAAACUGAUAUACGACAAAAUAUGGAUCAAUUCUGACGAAGAAAGAUAAAGAAAAUAAAAUAUUUUAAAUUCUGAAAAAGAAGAAUUAAAGUUCGGAAAUAUUGAAUUCAAUCUAUAUGGUGACAGAAAAGGCAUUAAGAAAUAUUUUGGUGUCAAAAUUAGGCAUUUAAUAGUCAAUCGAUAUAAGGAUAUAUUAUACGCUCAAUUCUAGCACCAGAUAGUUCUUACUACCUUUUUUGUCACAUAUUGAUUGAAUCCAAUAUUUCCAAACCUUAAUUCUUCUUUUUCAGAAUUUGAAAUAUUUUAUUUUCUUUAUCUUUCUUCAUCAGAAUUGACCCAUAUAUUAUCCUAUAUCACACUCCUCCACUUGAAUCGAGUUCAUAUUGCCUCUGACAUCAAGAAUCACGAACCUAGAUAAGCACGUAUACUCUUUAACAUGAGGAGCCAGAUCUUCUUCGAACUUGGAUUGUACAGCCAUGUAGUCGAUUCCCUAAAUAAGAUUUGAAUAUGUAGUUGACUCAUCUUGUUGUCUGGGUUCACUUGCUUGGUUUGAUGAUGCCAUAUAUCCUACUACCUUAUUCGUCAUGGAAGCUAACUUGAUUGUCUUCUUCUAGUAUGGCUUCCUCUUCAAUCAUGACACACUUUUAAUGGCGAUUCUACUUCAUUUUCUUGAAUUUCCUCCUCCAUCUUUUCUUGGCAUAGGGGAUCAUCAAAUGAUUUUUACUCACCUACUUUGUCUUUGAAAGUAGCAUUUUCCGUUCUUAGAAGAUACGAAUUAUAUUCAAACGAAAAUCAUAACUCUACAAUAACUUUCUCUUCAUCCUAGGCCAAGAUCGGAUAUGAUUCUUUCCUUCUUUCUUUUGUGUAUUUUGCAAACUAUCCCACCAAAAAACAAUAUUUUCCUUUAAAUGAAAAACAACCUGUUAACACAGGGCCCUUUCCAAACCCAAAAAUAGUACGAGCCCAAAGAAACAGCGGUCCAAAGGAAGAAAGAAAGGAAGGCCCGAAGGAAGGAAGCGAGACCAAGGCCUAGCUGGAAAUAUCUUGGCCAUUAUUAAUUAUUUGAGACAAGCUGAUGUCAACUCAAACCCUAGAUAAAUUGGUCCAAACCCGUUAGAUGAUAAUGUAAAAGAAGUUUUUGAUGCAAGAGUGACCUGUCUUAUUAUUAGUUUGGUACUGAGACAUUUUAUAAAAAAAAAUGGAUAUAAAAAAACUGAAUUCAAAACGAUGUUUGGUAAAUAUUUAAAAAUAACUUAUUUUUACAGUUUUAGAUGAAAAUAAGCUGAAAACAUGAAGUAACAAAAAUGAACUUAUUCUCACUGUUGAGCAAAAAUUGUACAUAAUAUGUAAACAAAUAAUUCACUCGACACAAUUUCACCCUCAUUCAGUUUUCCGAAGAGGGUUUUAUUAAUUCGAGUUCGACCCAUUCUAGGCUACACGCCUAUUAAUUACAAUCUUUCUUUUGGGAAAGAAAUACCCUUUGAUUCCAAUUCGAAUAAAAAUGUAACUUGAGGAAUUUGAUGUUUGUUUGAUUUUGUGACUGCACAUAGGUUGAACCCUAGAUUGCCUACGUACCCUCUUGAGGGAUCAAGUCACUCGUAGUUCAUGGAUUUGUUGGGGUUUGAUGCUUUGUGCAGUUUCAGCUCGUGCAGGCAAGGAGCAUUUGAUGCCUUGUGCAGUUUUAGCUCGUGCGGGCGAGGACUUUAAGCCAUUGGAGCUAUAUGUAACUUCGUGAUUUUUGAGACUUGUUGCAGCUUUGUGUCAUUUGAUAAUUGAUACGGCUUCGUGCCAUUUGAGACUUUUCUUCGGCUUCGUGCCAUUUUGGUAUUUGAUAGCAGGAGUGAAUUUAGUUUAUAUAAACCAGAGAUUCGUCUUGAUUUCACGGUUGCGUCUAAAACUUGAUAUCAGACUGCCUACGUAUCCUUACGGAAUCAAACCGGCGUAGUUCAUAAUUUGAAUGAAUUUUGUGUUCAGAUUUUUAGGAAAAUGAGGAGCCAUAUGGAUUGGAUUUGAAUAAUUAAUAGGUAAUGUAAAUGACCCAUUAAUUUGAGUAGGACAAACUGGGAGGUUUUUUUAGGACCAUGUCACAUCCACUCUUUCUUCUCCACUUGAGCGAACUUCCCGUGAAAUACUUAGUUCAAAGUGGAAUGAGAUUUGCUUUUCCUUUCAUUAGAAAAUGGGACUCAAAGUCUAUCCCACGUGAGGUGCAUAGAUCAAAACUCAUUUAGAGAACCUUUUUUUUUAUAUUUUCAACCCCAUUAAUAAAAGAAUGGGAUUUUGAACCCACUUUGAAUUUUCAAACUUUCUGACAAAAAAAGCUUUUGCUCCUCCCUUUUUUCUAUAUGAUUUUUAAAGCUUUUAAGUUCAACCACUAUUCUUCCAUGUGGGCAAAACUUCACGUGAGGUGCAGCCUUUAUUCACCCUUUUUUAUUUUUGGUGUUGCUUCCAUCCAAGUGAUGCUUCCUUCCAUCCUUCUUUUAUUUCUCAGACAAAAAGACAUAACGGCAGCAACCGACAUCUUUCAGAGGUUUUGUUUUUGUCCUAUUUCUUUGCCGAGCCAAUAAUUAUUUGAAGUAUGCUAUUGUUGGGGCUUUUGUAAUUGUAAGAAGGCACCCUUUUCUUUUUUGACUUAGUAGUCUCUCCUUCUUGUGACUGACGAGGAUGGGUAGUACGGAGAUGCAAUUUUGGGCCAACAUCGACGGAGCCAUUAAGGAGUGUAGAUUGAUCUUUGAAGUUGUGGUGAACAGAGAGGUUCCUGGAAACAAAUAUCAACUGUGGCAGAAAGAGUUUGCCCUUGUGGUUGUUGUUGAAGGAAAGCUUCAGCUUGGCGAGGCUGUCGAGCAGCUUGCAAGAGACCUUGUGGAAGAAGAUGGAGGAGUCGUUGUCGAACUCGGAAGUGGGUUGAACCGAAGGCCUCUUGGGGAAGCUGAAUACGAAGGGAGUCCUAGAAGAUGUAGCUUGCAGAGACGGCGGCGGUGCUUGAAAAUGUCUUCAUUGGUGUUGUCAAAGUGUUUAGUGAUUGACGACGUCGCAGCGGGCUAUUGUCAAAGUCCAGGUGAGAAGGCAGUCCUCCGGUUCCAGUUUGUCGCGAAAAGUGAGAGAGCUUCGGAGCCAUCACUAGGCACAGUGGUUUGGCACUGUUUCUUCAUGCAAGUCGUACUUCCAAACUUCUUUAGGCACCCAUUCCUUCAUUGACGCGACUUCUUUCGGGUUCUUCUGGUUUUAUGCAACACGGCAUGACCAAACCCAUCUCCUUCAAGCCGUAUCCUCCAUUGACCUUCGGGUUCUUCUGGUUUUAUGCAACACGGCAUUACCAAACCCAUUUCCUUCAUAUUGCGGAGUGCAUGGGCUCAUUCUGGAAGAGCACCGGACGGCUGGAGAGCGGUAGUGUUGCGGUUUGGUUGCUGCAACUUGGGAGGACGUUGGGGAAUGGUAGAGGUAAGAGAAGCAAAUUGCUUCUUCUUUUUUUUUUUCCUGCGAAACCAAGAGAAACCAAACAAAGAAAAUUUUAGAAGGAUGGAUUUGUACCUUUAUAUGCUUUGUUGCUUGUAGUUUGCUCUCCUUCUUUGAAGGGCUUGGUUUGGAGUCACCGGUAAUGGAAUUACUUCGUCUUCUCGUCCGGUAUUACUUCGUUGCUUCUUUCCUCCCUCAAUUUCUAUCUUAAUUUCUGCAGCGUCUCUUCUCCCUUUUUUCUGUUUUUCUUUUUUCUUUGCUUUGGUUCGAUGCCUUUUUAUAGGCGAACAGUGGACAUGGCAGUUGAAGUUUAGUGGGAUGCAACUUUCCUGGGGUGUGGAGAUGCUGAGAGAAAACCAUCUCUUGAGUGGAGAACGUGGGAGUUUUAGAGGGUUCUAGAUACACACAUUCUCUAUACCCGGUUGCCAUGUAGAUGACAAACUCCUUCAGACUUGGUGUAUGUUGAGGUCCACGUGUGCGGGUGUAGUUUUUUUUUUCUCUCUUUAUUUCUUAUAUAUAUUAUAUAAAUAUAGUAUACAUAAGAAUAUAUGCACACACACACAUAAAGUGAGCCUUAUUUCUAGUCAGUCCAUAUUUUGGACUAUUAUUAUUUUAAAGUCUCCCCAUUUUUAUUAAGAUUUGCUAAUAUAUUUUGUUUAUGAAAAUAUAUAGCUCAACACUCACAGCACAACAAAAACAAUUUUUUUUUCAAAACACAGCAAUACCAAAUCAGCCCUUAAUUGAGCUUUCGCGUGCAAAUAUGACCAAACACAAAGGGAUGGAUCAAGAUACACGUAGGGGUGUUUUGUGGGUGGUUGGACGGCCACGUUGUUCAAACAUCCACGCCUAGGAAUUUCUCCAGUGGGUGGGCCUGCUGAUAGGAAAUAAACGUUAGAUCACAUUAGUUGCUUCCCAAAGAAAGUCAAAUCUCCUCAACGAACCCAGUAAUGAAGAAGCUGACUCCUCUUUUAAACACUGAAUACAACAAACAAACUACAAUGGAAAACGAAAUCAGUAUUCAGGAUUCAGUAUUUACAACAAAAUGGAGCCUUCGUAUACUUACUGUACGAAUUUUUUGUUUAAAUUCCUUCCCGGGUUCUUUCUCUUAUGCAUGAUCUCGUGCCUGGAAUCCACAUUCGGAAACAAAUCUGAUCGUCUCGCUCUGCUGGACUUCAAGAGGAGAAUAACAGAAGAUCCUCUCCAUAUCAUGAACUCAUGGAAUGAUUCGGUCGAUUUGUGCAGUUGGGUUGGCGUUACGUGCAACCAUGCGAACAAAAGAGUCAUGAUCUUGAACUUGGAAGCUCAAAAGUUGGUAGGCCCCGUACCGCCUUCAAUCGGAAAUCUUACUUAUCUUAAUGGAAUCAACUUGAUAGACAACAACUUUCACGGCGAAAUUCCUCAAGAAAUCGGACGUCUACUAGGCUUGCAGUAUCUCAACCUGACUUCGAAUUCUUUCGGCGGGAAAAUUCCAGCUAAUAUAUCUCACUGCACGCAGCUAAGAAUGCUCAAUGUUGGUUCAAAUAAGCUGAUUGGGUCAAUUCCGAACCAACUCAAUUCGUUGUUGAAUUUAGCCCAUUUUUUGGUUGGUAAAAACAAUCUCACCGGAACAAUUCCGGAUUGGAUAGGAAACUUUUCUUCCAUGUCUGCAAUCUCUCUUGAUAACAACAAUUUUGAAGGAAGCAUACCAUAUGCGCUCGGGCGGUUGACAAGCUUGGGAAGCUUCGAACUUGCAUCAAACAAACUUUCCGGUACGGUUCCUUCUUCAAUCUAUAAUAUAUCGUCGAUAUACUCAAUUCAUGUUACCAACAACCAGCUGCAUGGAGAGCUCCCACAAAAUGUGGGGACUACUCUUCCUAAUCUUGAGUUAUUUGCUGGCGGUGUCAACAAAUUCACCGGAAGUAUUCCUGUUUCUUUGUCAAAUGCUUCUAAACUUCGAUUUCUUGAUUUUGCCGAAAAUGGCCUCACGGGAAAAUUCCCUGCUGAAAAUUUUGGAACUUUGAAAGGGUUGGUGAGACUAAACUUUGAUGCCAAUAGGCUGGGAAGUGGGAAAACAGGUGACCUGCGUUCUCUCAGUUUUCUGGCCAAUUGUACUGAUCUUGAGGUGUUAAGUUUUAGUCGUAAUCGUUUUGGAGGGGAAUUGCCAGAGUCCAUAGGCAACCUUUCGACAAAACUGAGAAUUUUUACAAUGGGGGGAAAUUUAUUACAUGGAAGCUUCCCUACCCGGGUUGUGAAUCUUGUAAACUUGAUCAAUCUAGGAAUGGAACAAAACUAUCUUGGUGGUAGUGUCCCUGAUGUGAUCGGUAAGCUUCAGAAGUUGCACGGGCUGUAUUUGAAUCUUAACCAAUUCUCUGGGACAAUCCCGUCCACGCUAGGCAACUUGACUUCAGUCACAAGGCUCUUCAUGGAGGGGAAUAGGUUUGAGGGAAGCAUAUCUCCGAGUCUCGGGAACUGCCAAAGCUUAUUGAUGCUUAACCUUUCUAGUAAUCAGCUAAGUGGCACCAUACCUAAAGAGGUUAUCGGGCUUUCAUCUCUAUCAAUUUCUUUGUCCAUGUCGAACAAUUCUUUGACUGGUUCUCUACCAUCUGAAGUGGGCGAGUUGGUACAUCUCUCGGAGCUAGAUGUAUCAGGAAACAAGUUAUCGGGUGAAAUCCCCAUAACCCUCGGCAGCUGUACUAGUUUGGUGAGCCUACAUUUGGAAGGUAACCAAUUUGAAGGAACAAUUCCUCAAUCUCUAGCCAACUUAAGAGGCUUGGAAGAAAUAGAUAUUUCACGCAAUAAUUUAUCUGGCCAGAUUCCUGAAUGUUUAGGUAAGCUUGGAGCUCUAAAGCAACUCAAUAUUUCCUAUAAUGAAUUUGAGGGUGAAUUGCCCACAGAAGGGAUAUUUUCAAAUGCGAGUGGUUUCUCGGUUCUUGGAAAUAAUAAGCUCUGCGGUGGCAUCCGAGAAUUACGUCUACAUGUAUGCACCAGCAAAAAAUCUCAUUCAUCUCAAGGACUACUUGCCCCGAAAGUAAUAAUCCCUCUAACUUGUGUGCACUUGCAUUAAUAAUUACUCUGUCAUGUUUCAUUGCUUCUUGUGCAUUGGUGAAAAGGUCAAGAGGUAGACCUUUAACUUCACGUUCUAAUGAAGAAUCAAAAUCAGGUGUCUCCUAUUUACAACUCGUUGAAUCAACCAAUGGGUUCUCUCCAGAAAAUCUCAUUGGUUCGGGAAGUUUUGGUUCUGUAUACAGGGGAGUACUCUCUGGUAAUGGCAUCAUAGUUGCCGUUAAGGUGUUAAACCUUCAACAAGAAGGAGCUUCCAAGAGUUUCAUUGAUGAAUGCAAAGCUUUAAGAAGUGUAAGGCACCGCAAUCUUCUCAAGAUCAUAACUGCAUGCUCGAGCAUUGAUAGUCAAGGUAAUGAGUUCAAAAGUCUAGUUUAUGAGUUCAUGGAAAAUGGAAGCCUGGACCCUUGGCUGCAUCCAAGGGAUGACGAAGAAUCUCCAAACAAGAGAUUGAGCCUUACCCAAAGACUGAAUAUUGCCAUUGAUGUCGCUUCUGUACUAGAUUAUCUACACCACAAUUGUGAAACAUGCAUUGUUCAUUGUGAUUUAAAGCCAAGCAAUAUUCUUCUUGAUGAAGAUAUGGUUGCUCACGUUGGUGACUUUGGCCUAGCAAAGUUCCUCUUGGAGGCAUCAAAUGGUACAACCUUGUCAGUAGGGCUAAAAGGUUCCACAGGCUACAUUCCUCCAGGUAUGGAUUUCUUUGAUCCUCAUUUGUUAUAUUCUUUUAGCACUAAAGAAAUUUCAAAUAUGCUAUAAAUUCUAAGCAUGAACUAUUUUGAAUGGCAGAGUAUGGGAUGGGAGGACAAGUCUCCACACAAGGAGAUGUUUAUAGUUACGGGAUACUGUUGCUAGAAAUGUUCACAGGAAAAGGCCAACCGAUGACAUUUUCAAAGAUGGUCUAAGCAUUCACCAAUUCACCGCCAUGGCAUUGCCGGACCAUGUCAAGGAAGUAGUUGAGCCCUCAUUGCUCCUCGAAACAGAUGACGAAGAUGUUGAAGAUGACGAUGGCGACGGAUAUGGGAAUAAAAUACGGGAAAGACCACUGGCCAAAUACAAGGAUCCCGGCCCGGACAAAGCAAAAAGACGGGAGGAAUGCUUGUAUUCGGUGAUACAAAUAGGCAUCUCGUGCUCCGCAAUAUCACCAGGAGAGCGGAUGCGUAUGGAUGUGGUUGUCAACAAAAUGGGUGCACUUAGAGACUCAUAUCUCAACUUAAGAAGAAGAAGAUGAUGACGAUUGCAAUGUGCAAAACCAGGCUAAGUUUCUUUACCUAUUCCAAUCUAUAUAUAGCUUUUAUCUGUAUGCAAUAAAUUAUCUGUAUAAAUGUAUGUGACAUCAUGUAAGAUUGAAUCAAUAUUUUAUCACUAUAUAUAUUUGUCUCUUCAUAAUCGCAGGGCUUGGAAUUUGGUUGGUUUAAGAGCAUUUCAUGAUUGCACCUGAACUACGUCAAUCAUUUUAUGCUUUCAAGUCGAAGUCAUUCAUUUUCGACAGGAAGUUUUCAUUACAAUUUGUGAGAAAUUCUAAUGAACUACUUAAUCUCACAACUUUAUAAACCUACUGGAAAGUUAAUUAACACCAUGUGCUAAUAAGUUGGUUUGAAAGUCAGGUUCGUAUCUUUGCUUUAUGGUUUGCAUUGGUUUGAAACUCAAGUUUGUAUCUAUGCUUAAUGGUUUCAAAGUAUGUUGAAUUAUCUGUAUUCGCCUGUGUGUGUGUGUGUUUUUUUUUUUUUUUUUUUGAAUUGGUUGAAUUAAGAUGUACAAUUUUUAGAUUAAUCUAAUUAAAAAUGCACUAAGGAAUGAAGAACCCGCAGCAACACGCUGGCCAAUUUUCUAGUAAUGUCCAUUAUGUGUACGGAAAUUAUAAAACCCUUAGCAAAAUGGUAGCCUCGUAUGAGCUAGAAAUAUCUUGGCCAUAUUAAUUAUUUGAGACAAGCUGAUAAGUUGUGAUGCAAACUGAUAGCUCGUUUGAAUAUACUUUUAAAGUAACUGAAAGCGUUUUUGGUGAAAAUAUUUUUGGAAUCAAUCUUUAGUAAAUAUGCAAAUAAAAUUUGGAAAAGCAUUUUAAGUGCUUUUGAAACCAAAAAACAUUUUCUCUAAAAAUGAUUUCAAUCAUGUUAAAAGCACAUCCAAACAAGUCUUAUAAAUGAUAGACCUUAAUGUUUCCUAACACGUCUUAAUUGAGCUUUUGCGUGUUUCCUAACACGCCUUAAUGUUUCCUAACUCCGAUUCUGAGUAUUUCAAUCAGGCAGUCUUGAUUCGGUACAUCUUUUAGCUGCCCCACGAUACAAUUCUCGUUGCAAGUUGAUUCCUCAUCCUCUCUUUCCCUCCUUCAACAAACAACGGGUCUAAAACUUCGGAUAUUUGUUCAGGCAGUGCUUUGCUAACAAAGUUAUGGAGUUGUAGUCCGUCAUUAAAAACGUUGUAGGUGGGCCUUUUUCCUAUGAACAUGUACAGCCAGGAAUUGUCGAGGUGAGGCAAAAUUUAAUAGCGUAAAGAUGAGCCAAGAACAAACCCAGGUUCCAAAUCCACCCUCACACAGAUAAGCCAAGAACAGUGCUCAGAUUCUUGCUCACGGACAAAUGCAGAAAAGAGAUCAAAAAACGGCUAUUACAUAGAGAUCAAUACUGGCAAACAUUUCGGCAAGCUAGUACUGGGCUUUAUCGAGAUUUCAUAUCAUAUGGGCUUUGUGUAUAGUAGGCCCAGAAGGCUCUUUUAGCCAUCUAAAGAAAAUGUGUAAACUGUCUAUUUAGUUUCUGAAUUAUCAGCUUGGUGAAAAUUAGGUCCCUAAACUUUUUUUUUUUUUUCAGAAAAUUCAGUUCUUGAAUUGUAAAAAUGUGUCAAUUUCAUCCCCAAUAUUAUAUUCAAAGCUACUAUAUUCAAUUUUCCGUCAAAUUUUAAGUCACGUUACUUGUAUGUGAUACACAUUGGAGGGUAGAUUGGUAAUUUUUCAUAAAGAAAUAGUGUAUGGAGUUAAGAUGAUAGGUUCGCAACAUAUAUGAAAUGUUAAGGGUUUAUAGGCGAGAAAAUUACAGUAUCACACUAUAAAGUGUGUCAAGUGACGUAAGUUAACAAAAAAUUGGAUAAAAUAAAUUUGAAUAUAAUAGUAGGGAUGAAAUUAGCAAUUUUUAAUGAAUUUAGGGACUUAUUUUACCAAACAAUAUUCAUAGACCUAAUUUCAAGGACUAAAUUGGCACUUUACCCAAAGAAAAUUAUAGGCACUCUCUCACAAGGCUUUCUCUAGUGUGUACAUCGAAAAUGCACGUUUAAAUUACACAUUUGAACAAGAGUUAUUAAAUUAUUUGAUUUAACAAACUCUAACGACCCUUGUUCAUAUGCGUAAUUUAAAAGUACACUUUUAACGUGCAGGGGAGAAAAUUCAACUUCCUGACUCCAUUGAGCCAUUGAUUGGGGGAAGAAAGUUGCCUCAACCGGAAACAAAAACUCCAAUAGCAGGAUGUAAAAUAUUCUUCUUUGCUGCAAUAUGUAAAUAAAAAUACAAAUUUACGUCUUUUUACAUCUUUUAAAAGUGGGCACAACCUCAAAAUCAAUUGUAACUUUUCCAUUCAAAUUUGCUUCCUUCAGUAUUGAAUUUCUGAAUAUUUAAGACAUGUGGAUAAAGAUGCUGGUAGAGUAUAACCCAUACUGUUUUUUAAAGAUUUAGAAAUCUAGUCAUUCCAAGCUCAUCAAGCGCAAACCUUAUCUAGAACUCCCAAAAAAUGGGCAAAUUCUUUAUUAUCAUGAUUAUUUCUUCCUCGCACACACCCUCAUUAUCUUCUUAAAUAACUUUCUCGGCAGGGCCGACCCAGGCCCAGCGCCACAGGGGCAGCUGUCCAGGGCCCCAAAUUGAAAGGGGCACCAAAAAAAAAACCCCCAAAUAACUUGGUAUAUAUAUAAUAAAAUAAAAAAGUCCAAAGCCCAAAUAAGGGCUGGAGGGCAAGAGCUCAUGAAAGUUUUAAAAAGGGCCCAAGUUUUGGGACCACUAGGUCCAGGUUUUGGGAAUUACAGCAAAAAAAAAAAGCAAACAAAAAAACAAAACAAAAUCAGACAUUAGACUAUUAGAGGGAUCACUUGAUCUCCAUUUUACAACCCUUUCCCGAUUUCCCAUAACCUUACAACCCUAAUUCCUACCCUGGCCACCCCCUUUUGUUCCCCACUUCCUCCCUGUCGUUCCUUAGUUCCUGACUCCCUUUUCAAAAGUUCAACAGCAAGCUGUUGCACACAGGCAAACAGCAGUCACAUAACAUUGGGCAUUGGCUGCUCAAGUGCAAGAGCAUUCACUCACCACCAACCCCUUUGAGUUUUGAGGUAAAUUAAUUUUUAAAAUUUGAAUUAUCAAUUCAUAAUUUAAUAUAAAAUUUUUCAAGUGAUAUAGAAUUAUAUGAUAAUUGAUGUAUAGAAUUGUUGUUGAUGAAUUGAAUUCUUGACUAAUUUAAUUAUUUGAUUUCAUUUCAAACCCAAUUUUUGGGUUCAAUUUUUAUAAUAUGUUAAACUUUGUGUUAGUGUUUUUAUAAUAUAUAAUAUGUGUUGAAAUGAUAAUUUUGAUAGGAUAUUUUUGUUAUAUCAUGUGUAAGUAAUUUUUACAAACAAAUUAUCGAAGCCAUUAUUUUAGGAAAUAACUCUCUAGUAAUAUGAAAAGGAAAAAAAAGGCAAAGGAUAACGAAAUUGCCCAAAGUUUAAGAGGAUCUCUUAAUAAAUUCCUCUCUACAAAGAAUAAGUCAGUUGAAAAUUUGAGAGAAAAUGAAAUUGGUGAAGAGUCACAAAAUGUUGUUGGGGAGUCUCAUGAUCCUGAAAAUGGUGGUGAUUUAGAAGAAAAUGUUGGUGAUGAGUCUCAAGACCAUGAAAAUGGUGGUGAUGUAGAUUUAAAUAUUGAUGAUGAUCAUAUUGGUGUAGAGAAAAAUAUUGAAUCUCCUGAACCUAUUUUCCAUUUAAACAUUUAUGAUCCAAGAGUUUGGGAUGGUCUUAAUACAGAAUUGAGAGACUUACUUGUAGAAAAUGAAUCAAUUCGAGAAACUAAUCUCACUUAUCGUAAAGACAAACUCUCUAGAAAAUUUUCCUCACACUACUAUGAUCGAAAAUUACCAACGGGUAAAAUUUAUGAUAGAAAAUGGAUAGAAAAUGGCUCGUGUACUCAAGAGUUGGAUAAAGUCUUUUGCUUUUGUUGUAACUUGUUUAAAACAAUUGACUCAAAAAGUGAGUUAGCAAAAUAUGAAAUUAAUGAUUAGAAACAUCUUGGUGUGAAGCUUGACCAACAUGAAAAGAGUAAAGAGCAUCUCAUUAAUUCGAGAACUUGGGUUGAGUUGAAAAGUAGAUUGACAAAAAAAAUCAGACAAUUGAUAAAGAAUUUCAAAUGCGAAUCAAGAAAGAGACAAAUCAUUGGAAACAAGUGAUGCUCCGAAUUAUUGUUGUUGUGAAAUGUCUUGUCAUACGUAAUUUGAACAAAUGAAAGACCUUAUGAAGACUCUAAUAGCAACUUCUUAGGUUUACUUAAAAUGAUUGCGGAGUUUGAUCCAAUAAUGCAAAAGCAUUUUCAACUCAUUGGGAAUAAAGCGAUUCAUCAUCACUAUUUGAGCCAUAAAAUCCAAAAUGAGUUGAUAACUAUUUUAGCUUCAAAAGUCAAAACCGCAAUCAUUAAAAAGGUAAAAGAAGCAAAAAAAAUUUAUGUCAUACUUGAUUGUACUCCUGAUGCAAGUCAUGUAGAACAAAUGAAUUUAAUUUUGAGAUGUGUUGACUUGUCAAGUAGGUCAAUAAAUAUAAGGGAGUAUUUUAUGGAGUUUUUACGUGUGGAAGAUACAUCAGGACAAGGACUUUUUAAUGAGUUGCAAGAUGUCCUAAAGUCUCUUGAUCUUGAUAUUGAUAAUGUGAGGGGACAAGGUUAUAAUAAUGGAUCUAACAGGAAAGGGAAACACCAAGGUGUCCAGAAAAGAUUGCUAGACAUAAAUCCCAGAGCCUUUUACAUGUCAUGUGGUUCUCAUUGUUUUAAUUUAAUAGUUUGUGAUAUGGCAAGUUCAUGUCUUAAAGCAAAAUAUUUUUUUGGAGCAUGUCAAUGCAUGUAUACAGUGUUUUCCAACUCUACAAAGCGUUGGAAUAUUUUGCUUGAACAUAUUGAUGAUUUAACUUUGAAGUCAUUGUCAACUACUCGAUGGGAAAGUCACAUUGAAAGUGUUAAAGCAAUUAAAUCCCAAGUAGCCUAAGUUAUAAAUGCUUUGUUUACGUUGAUGGAAAUUAUUAAGAAUCCCCAAUUGAGUAGGGAUGCAAGAUGUUUAGCAUCAGGAGAACUUUCCAGUUUUGAUUUUGUAUUAAGUUUGGUUAUUUGGUAUGACAUUUUGUUGAAGAUUAACAUGGUGAGCAUAAAAUUACAAUCUGAAGACAUGCGUCUUGAUGUUACUGUAAAGGUAUUGAAAGCACUUGUUAACUUUUUUGAAAACUACAGAGAAACUGGUUUUGCUUCUGCCAUGCGUGAUGCUAAAGAAAUUGCACUUGAUUCAGAAAUUGACCAUGUUUUUCAAACUAAACAUUAUAGACCUAGAAAAAGACAUCAUGAUGAAGUUGAUAGUAACGAGAGGGAACAAUAGUCUGCUGAAGAAUCAUUUAGAACAUAUUAUUUUUUUGUUAUAGUGGAUAUUGCUCUUUCUCAACUGAAACACAGAUUUGAACAAUUAAAGACUUUUGAAUCUAUUUUUGGCUUCUUGUUUGAUGCAUCGAAGUUAAUUUCAUUGGAUGAUCAACAACUAAAAGAAAAUUGUAUGAAUCUUGAAGCACAUUUGAAAUAUGGAAAUACCAUGGAUGUAGAUGAAGCCGACUUAUGUUCCGAAUUACAGUGUUGCAAAUGAUGUUACCUAAAGAAACAUUUCUCUCUAAUAACCCUUGGACAUCCAUGGAAAUAGCAAAUUUUGUAAAAGAAACUGACAUGUGUCCUAAUGUCUUGAUUGCUUAUCGUGUACUGUUGACUAUACCUGUGACCGUGGCAUCUGCAGAAAGAAGUUUUUCAAAAUUGAAAUUAUUAAAAUCUUGCUUGCGGACCACUAUGACUCAAGAUAGGCUAAAUGGAUUAGCAAUCUUAUGCAUUGAAAAUGAUAAGAUUGAAGACUUGGAGUAUGAUGAUAUAAUUGAUGAUUUUGCUUCAAAAAAUGUCAGAAGACAAUUUCUUAAAAGUUGAAAUUUCAAGAAGCUUUGCUAGGAAUUGAUGUAUAUGAUUGAUGCAUGGGGUGGAGCUGUUAGCUAGGGCAAUUGGGUUGGAGCAACAGCCGGUCCACCGGGCUAUUGAAUACAGUGGAGCUGCUCUUAAGAACUUCCACCACCACUUUUGAGUACUCAUUUAAGGAUUUAAAGGGAAUCUUUGUGUCCCUAAAGGAAUAUUGCCUCCAAUGGGAGAGUCCUUAUAGUAGAAUCCUUAAAUUUGAAGUUUUUAUGAUUUUAUGUGAUAAUUUGAUUAGGUGCACAUUUUUAUUUAUACCUUUUUUUAAUUAAUUAAAAACAAUAAAAUUAAAAAAAAACUAAUAAAAAUGAUUUCAAAAUUUGAAUUCUAACAAAAAAUCAUGUAAUAACUUUAUUUAAUGAUUAGAAUAAAUCCCAACAUCAAAUCAAUUCAAUAAAACAGGCCCAAACAAAGUAAUUUAUUGAGAUUCCGAUUUUACCCCCUAACGUCUUUUAUUGGCCCGUUUAUUUAUGUCUGUCCCCUUGGACUUAGAGGAGAAAAGCUGAUUCGCUUCAGUUGGCGUUCCACAACGCCCGUGAUUCCAUGAAAUUCAAUCAAUUGCUGCUUCUGCUGUUCUGAUCACGAACCCCAAAUCCCAAACUCCUAAGCCCAAAUCAGAUGGGCAGCAAAAGCAAAACCAAAGAGAAGAAAGCAGUUGGAGGACUCAAUCGACGACGAUAAAUUACUUUGGUUGAUUAGAUUUGCUGUACACGUUCUUCUUAGACAGGGUGUGCUUGGUAUGAAGGUGCAGAUCAUGCUCGACUGGGAUCCUAAGGGAAAGCAGGGACUAAUGACUCCAUUGCUUGAUUUGUUGACCAUCCACACCCCCAAGGAAGACAAUAUCUUCCAGUUCCACCCGCAGAAAUCGACAUAGAGCCAGUUCCAGUUCCAAUAGCUUGAAUUGAGUUUUGAUUCAUUUGUAAACUUAUACAUAUAGGAAAGGAAUUGGUUGUCCUUUUGGGCUUCGAUUUUCAGCGAAUGAACUUGUUUACUUGUCCAUGGAUUUAAAAAAUUAGUAUUGAAAUAAAUGGCUAUGCAAUAUGAUAAUGGGGUUCUGCCAAUUUAUGACAGCC